AAGUCCACACCCAUGUAACCCUAACCCCCAUCCUCUCCUCCGUUCCCUCAGCCGCCACAGCCGCCGCUCCCGAUUCGGGCGAUUCCGGCGGAUAUUGCCGGGGUGGAGCACACCACCGAGCUCGCCUCGCUCGGAUCCAUCCUUCCCUCCGGCAAGAUUUCCCCCUCUCGACCUCAACUGCUUUCCCAAAACCACUUCCCGUGCUAGGGUUUCGGCAUCCGGCAUCGCCUUCAUCGUCGGCCCUUCUACGGCCGCCUAUGGCGCCUCUUCUCCAUCGUCUACAGCGCCCCCACGCGCGCCCUCGCUUCCUGAUGGUCCACCUCGAGCAGGGCAGCACGGAGGACCUCAUCCCGUAGGAUCCAUGGACGCGGCGCACCUGCAGCCGCCCGUCCGGGACGAGGGUGGGCACCGUGGCUUGUCCUGCUCGACGACAGCUGCGGCGAGUGCGUGUGCUGCUCCUCAUCCUCAAACUCCAAGGAGAAGCGCCAGUACAACAUAAGCAUGCCCCGCCCCUGAACAAUGGCCAUGGCGCUAGGGUUCUGCGACAGCCAGCUAAUUGGUGCGCCAUACUUAUCUGCCUAAUUGGCUGAUUGGGGGUUCUGUUGGGUUGACAACCAGUGGUGUACAGGACGCCCUCCUCGAAGCGGCCAUCCCCGACGAGCUCUCUUCGCUGGAGGAGAUGGAGCAGCAAGUCCAGCACCCGCUUGGCCCCUGUGUCCUACCUCGCGUGGACAAGCUCACCAAUG
Long non-coding RNA from Triticum aestivum (bread wheat), 746 nucleotides. RefSeq lists it as uncharacterized. The transcript is spliced from 3 exons. The record is from RefSeq and is a predicted model, not a curated record. Lineage: Eukaryota; Viridiplantae; Streptophyta; Magnoliopsida; Poales; Poaceae.